GAUGAACGCUGGCGGCGUGCCUAAUACAUGCAAGUCGAGCGAACGGACGAGAAGCUUGCUUCUCUGAUGUUAGCGGCGGACGGGUGAGUAACACGUGGAUACCCUCCCUAUCAGACUGGGAUAACUUCGGGAAACCGGCGCUAAUCCCGGAUAAUAUUUUGAACCGCAUGGUUCAAAAGUGAAAGACGGUCUUUCUGUCACUUAUAGAUGGAUCCGCGCUGCAUUAGCUAGUUGGUACGGUAACGGCUUACCAAGGCAACGAUGCAUAGCCGACCUGAGAGGGGGAUAGGCCACACGGGAACGGAGACACGGUCCAGACUCCUAAGGGAGGCAGCAGUAGGGAAUGGUCCGCAAUGGGCGAAAGCCUGACGGAGCAACGCCGCGUGAGAGAUGAAGGUCUUCGGAUCGUAAAAAUCUGUUAUUAGGGAAGAACAUAUGUGUAAGGAACUGUGCAGAGAUUGACGGUACCGAAUCAGAAAGCCACGGCUAACUACGUG
Molecule: ribosomal RNA, 497 nt
Filed under: uncultured bacterium
Lineage: Bacteria
Description: partial 16S ribosomal RNA
Rfam family: Bacterial small subunit ribosomal RNA
Source: RNAcentral